AUCUACCAAAUCUGCUGAUUAACUAUGGAAGAUUAUACCAAAAUAGAGAAAAUUGGCGAAGGUACCUAUGGAGUUGUGUAUAAGGGUAGACACAAAACUACAGGUCAAGUGGUAGCCAUGAAGAAAAUCAGACUAGAAAGUGAAGAAGAAGGGGUUCCUAGUACUGCAAUUUGGGAAAUUUCUCUAUUAAUAGAACUUCAUCAUCCAAAUAUAGUCAGUCUUCAAGAUGUGCUUAUGCAAGAUUCCAGGUUACAUCUCAUCUUUGAAUUCCUUUCCAUGGAUCUCAAGAAAUAGUUAUAUUCCAUCCCUCUUGGUCAGUUCAUGGAUUCUUCACUUGUUAAGAGUUAUUUGUACCAAAUCCUACAAGGGAUUGUCUUUUGCCAGUCCAGAAGAGUUCUGCACAGAGACUUAAAAACCUCAAAAUCUAUUGACUGAUGACAAAGGAACAAUUAAACUGGCUGAUUUUGGCUUUGCCAGAGCUUUUGUAAUACCUAUUAGAGUAUACACACAUGCGGUAACCAAUAAACCACUUUUCCAUGGGGAUUCAGAAAUUGAUCAACUUUUCAGAAUUUUCAGAGCUUUGGCCACUCCCAAUAAUGAAGUGUGCUCAGAAGUGGAAUCUUUACAGGACUAUAAGAAUACAUUUCCCAAGUGGAAACCAGGAAGCCUGGCAUCCCAUGUUAAAAACUAGGAUGAAAAUGGCUUGGAUCUGCUCUCGAAAAUGUUAGUCUAUGAAUCUGCCAAACGAAUUUCUGGCAAAAUGGCACUGAAUCAUCCAUAUUUUAAUGAUUUGGACAAUCAGAUUAAGAUGUAGCUUUCUGACAAAGAGUUUCCACAUAUCAAGAACAGAUAGUUAUAUUUUUACUGCUAACUUUGUCUGUUUUUGUUUUGUGUAUUUUUCUUUUCUUUGUGUAAAGUUAAGCUGUACUUCAUCUUCUGAUUUCAAAAGUGUAACUUAAAAAUGUAAAUAUUGUUCUAUAUGAAUUUAAAUAUAAUAAUUCUGUAUAUGUUUAUAGAUCUCACUGUAACAACUAUUUGUUGCCAUAAUAAAACUA
Zalophus californianus (California sea lion) is the source of this 1055-nucleotide RNA transcript. It is a transcript of the gene named cyclin-dependent kinase 1-like, with no coding region annotated. NCBI's taxonomy places the organism in Eukaryota, Metazoa, Chordata, Mammalia, Carnivora, Otariidae. The transcript is spliced from 2 exons. The record is from RefSeq and is a predicted model, not a curated record.